AAUCCAUAGGUUAAUGAGGCGAACCGGGGGAACUGAAACAUCUAAGUACCCCGAGGAAAAGAAAUCAACCGAGAUUCCCCCAGUAGCGGCGAGCGAACGGGGAGGAGCCCAGAGCCUGAAUCAGCAUGUGUGUUAGUGGAAGCGUCUGGAAAGGCGCGCGAUACAGGGUGACAGCCCCGUACACAAAAGCGCAUGUGCUGUGAGCUCGAUGAGUAGGGCGGGACACGUGGUAUCCUGUCUGAAUAUGGGGGGACCAUCCUCCAAGGCUAAAUACUCCUGACUGACCGAUAGUGAACCAGUACCGUGAGGGAAAGGCGAAAAGAACCCCGGCGAGGGGAGUGAAAAAGAACCUGAAACCGUGUACGUACAAGCAGUGGGAGCCCCACCACCAAAGCAUUUGCUGUACCGCGUUGACGGAGCGAAGCGACGUCAAACCGAUAAAACAGCAGUGUAAAGUGAGCCGCAGGGCGCUUUGCGCGACAGCGCAAAGGCAGGCGGUUUCGCGUAGCGAAAGCGAAUGCUUUGGGGUGGGGUGACUGCGUACCUUUUGUAUAAUGGGUCAGCGACUUAUAUUCUG
RNAcentral lists this ribosomal RNA (577 nucleotides) under Salmonella enterica subsp. enterica serovar Enteritidis. RNAcentral describes it as "partial 23S ribosomal RNA". It matches the Rfam family "Bacterial large subunit ribosomal RNA", at positions 161 to 637 of the family's 2925-position model. The record is from RNAcentral. Lineage: Bacteria; Pseudomonadati; Pseudomonadota; Gammaproteobacteria; Enterobacterales; Enterobacteriaceae.